GGAGAAUCGUGUUCUGUCAUUGUACUCUUGAAUGCCGUGGAGCGAAAAUUUGUUUCGUCGAGCAUUACCCUGUUGUUAUUAGUACUUUCAUUUCGACUUCAUCAGCAUUUCUACACUUCUACCCGCUUCAUUUAAAUAUUUUUCAUAACUUCUACCUUUUUUUGUGCUUCGGGAAGGAUGCAGUGAUGCUUUAAAUCUAAACGUGUUUAUCACUCCUUCCUCUUUCUUCUGUUUCCUGAAAAGGAUCUAGUGGAACUUCAAAAGCCAAGAAUUUCUUUCCAUGAUGGGACUGCAUGGCUCCUCUUUGAUGACGGUCUUCACAGCAUCGAUAGUCACCGACUAUGUUCCUCGAAUCUUAUCUUGGACACAAAGGGACAAAGGAAGGAAAGUGUGCGAUGCCACACCACCGAGGCAUCCGUCACGAUUUUC
Long non-coding RNA from Bombus pyrosoma, 429 nucleotides. RefSeq lists it as uncharacterized. The record is from RefSeq and is a predicted model, not a curated record. NCBI's taxonomy places the organism in Eukaryota, Metazoa, Arthropoda, Insecta, Hymenoptera, Apidae. The transcript is spliced from 5 exons.